CCAAAGGCUCUUUUCAGAGCCAUGUUUUCUUGGUGACUAACUGGUU
Molecule: non-coding RNA, 46 nt
Organism: Pan troglodytes (chimpanzee)
Lineage: Eukaryota; Metazoa; Chordata; Mammalia; Primates; Hominidae
Source: Rfam